RNAcentral lists this non-coding RNA (88 nucleotides) under Geobacter sp. RNAcentral describes it as "c-di-GMP sequence". It matches the Rfam family "c-di-GMP-I riboswitch aptamer". From Rfam's summary of the family: GEMM was predicted in a large-scale screen for bacterial structured RNA regulatory elements. RNAcentral also lists the same sequence under 1 other name. Lineage: Bacteria; Pseudomonadati; Thermodesulfobacteriota; Desulfuromonadia; Geobacterales; Geobacteraceae. The record is from RNAcentral.
UUUCCGAACAGGUAAACCUCGGGUAACCGAGGGGCACAAAGCCACAGGUCCCAAGUUCAGCAAUGAACCGGACAGCUGGGUUGUCGAA